UUCCUAAUGCCUCCCAUUCCUA
RNAcentral lists this microRNA (22 nucleotides) under Oryza sativa (Asian cultivated rice). RNAcentral's name for it is "osa-miR2118g". Lineage: Eukaryota; Viridiplantae; Streptophyta; Magnoliopsida; Poales; Poaceae. RNAcentral also lists the same sequence under 1 other name. The record is from miRBase by way of RNAcentral.